This 1368-nucleotide ribosomal RNA is filed under the name uncultured bacterium. Its description in RNAcentral is "bacterial SSU rRNA". It matches the Rfam family "Bacterial small subunit ribosomal RNA". The record is from RNAcentral.
GCUUUCUUUGCUGGCGACCGGNGCNNGGGUGAGUAACACGUAUCCAACCUGCCCUUUACUCGGGGAUAGCCUUUCGAAAGAAAGAUUAAUACCCGAUAGCAUAAUGAUUCCGCAUGGUUUCAUUAUUAAAGGAUUCCGGUAAAGGAUGGGGAUGCGUUCCAUUAGGUUGUUGGUGAGGUAACGGCUCACCAAGCCUUCGAUGGAUAGGGGUUCUGAGAGGAAGGUCCCCCACAUUGGAACUGAGACACGGUCCAAACUCCUACGGGAGGCAGCAGUGAGGAAUAUUGGUCAAUGGGCGCUAGCCUGAACCAGCCAAGUAGCGUGAAGGAUGAAGGCUCUAUGGGUCGUAAACUUCUUUUAUAUAAGAAUAAAGUGCAGUAUGUAUACUGUUUUGUAUGUAUUAUAUGAAUAAGGAUCGGCUAACUCCGUGCCAGCAGCCGCGGUAAUACGGAGGAUCCGAGCGUUAUCCGGAUUUAUUGGGUUUAAAGGGAGCGUAGGUGGACUGGUAAGUCAGUUGUGAAAGUUUGCGGCUCAACCGUAAAAUUGCAGUUGAUACUGUCAGUCUUGAGUACAGUAGAGGUGGGCGGAAUUCGUGGUGUAGCGGUGAAAUGCUUAGAUAUCACGAAGAACUCCGAUUGCGAAGGCAGCUCACUGGACUGCAACUGACACUGAUGCUCGAAAGUGUGGGUAUCAAACAGGAUUAGAUACCCUGGUAGUCCACACAGUAAACGAUGAAUACUCGCUGUUUGCGAUAUACAGUAAGCGGCCAAGCGAAAGCAUUAAGUAUUCCACCUGGGGAGUACGCCGGCAACGGUGAAACUCAAAGGAAUUGACGGGGGCCCGCACAAGCGGAGGAACAUGUGGUUUAAUUCGAUGAUACGCGAGGAACCUUACCCGGGCUUAAAUUGCAGUGGAAUGAUGUGGAAACAUGUCAGUGAGCAAUCACCGCUGUGAAGGUGCUGCAUGGUUGUCGUCAGCUCGUGCCGUGAGGUGUCGGCUUAAGUGCCAUAACGAGCGCAACCCUUAUCUUCAGUUACUAACAGGUCAUGCUGAGGACUCUGGAGAGACUGCCGUCGUAAGAUGUGAGGAAGGUGGGGAUGACGUCAAAUCAGCACGGCCCUUACGUCCGGGGCUACACACGUGUUACAAUGGGGGGUACAGAAGGCAGCUAGCGGGUGACCGUAUGCUAAUCCCAAAAGCCUCUCUCAGUUCGGAUCGAAGUCUGCAACCCGACUUCGUGAAGCUGGAUUCGCUAGUAAUCGCGCAUCAGCCACGGCGCGGUGAAUACGUUCCCGGGCCUUGUACACACCGCCCGUCAAGCCAUGGGAGCCGGGGGUACCUGAAGUACGUAACCGCAAGGAUCNUCCU